GUAAAUUUAUCUUAUUCUUGGUUGUGUUGUGAGUUUGUGGGAGAGCUAUUUAAGGGAAAAUGCAUGUGACAUCCAAGGUUCUGUCUGCUCUCCACUCUAUCAAAUGAUAUGACACGUUAUGCUUCAAAGAAGGUACUUUUGGCUACAAAUUUUAAUUUAAUCUCAUUUUGAUUUUGAAAGUGCUUAAGUAUAAUGUCAUAUACUAAUUCAGUUGUAUAAAUAACUUGAUCUUUCUGGAAGAAUGUUCAACAAGUUGCUGUAUUUUUCCAAAAUCUUUUUAUUUGGAAGUUUGGAGUUUGGACAUUAAAGUUUUGUCUGGGUGUGUUGCAGGUUAUUAUUUAGAUUGUUUAUUAUUAUUAUUUAUAUGGUCCCUUCCAAUUGUGUUCAGAGCUUGGUGGUGGCAGAGAGAGAGCGGGUGACAUUGGUCUUUUUGGUCUGUUUGGUUUUUUGAUAUUCUUAGUUUAGGUUCUUCAAUUCAUCAUUCUCUUCUCUACGUCUUCGUUUUUUCAUUGACAUUUUUCCUCUCUCUUCAUCUCUUAUUCACUUUAUCGACACAUGAUAUAUCUUCUAACAACACAUGAUAUAUCUUAUAAAGCGUAGGAGGGUUCCAGAUGCGUUGUGGUGAGCAUUGUGUUGUGCAAUGAUUCUUCUCUUUGUUUAUAUUUUGAACAAAGGGAUCAACAUUGAGUCCAGACCUGCUUUGUCCAUGGAUUCCUUCAAAGCACUCGAGGCUGAUAUAUGACACACCAAUGCUUUAAACUUCUAGCUUUUGCCGCGCCGCAUCUUGAUGCCUGCGACCAGCAUAUGACAAUUCUAAAAAUAUUUGGCCCUCCUCUGCAAUAGAUGGAAUGUCGUAGUCAUGCAGAUGAAGUUACAUUUUACUACAGGAGUUAUGAUAAAAUUUGGAGAUUGGCUUAGUGAUAUCAACUGAAUUUUAUUUGUAUUUUCUUAAUUUUACAAACAAUAUUUUGUAGUUCGAACACCAACUUUAUUAUAAGUAUUAAGCCUUUUUUCCUUCAACAAUGUAUUUCAUUUUAUAUCUGUCUUGCCAAAAAAAAUCAUGCUUGCUAAAUGACUAAGGAGA
Glycine soja is the source of this 1084-nucleotide long non-coding RNA. RefSeq lists it as uncharacterized. The record is from RefSeq and is a predicted model, not a curated record. NCBI's taxonomy places the organism in Eukaryota, Viridiplantae, Streptophyta, Magnoliopsida, Fabales, Fabaceae. The transcript is spliced from 3 exons.